AUUGAACGCUGGCGGCAGGCCUAACACAUGCAAGUCGAGCGGAUGAAGGGAGCUUGCUCCUGGAUUCAGCGGCGGACGGGUGAGUAAUGCCUAGGAAUCUGCCUGGUAGUGGGGGAUAACGUCCGGAAACGGGCGCUAAUACCGCCUACGUCCUGAGGGAGAUAGUGGGGGAUCUUCGGACCUCACGCUAUCAGAUGAGCCUAGGUCGGAUUAGCUAGUUGGUGGGGUAAAGGCCUACCAAGGCGACGAUCCGUAACUGGUCUGAGAGGAUGAGCAGUCACACUGGAACUUGGACGCGGUCCAGACUCCUACGGGAGGCAGCAGUGUGGAAUAUUGGACAAUGGGCGAAAGCCUGGUCCAGCCAUGCCGCGUGUGUGAAGAAAGUCUUCGGAUUGUAAAGCACGUUAAGUUGGGGGGAAGGGCAGUAAGUUAAUACCUUGCUGUUUUGACGUUACCAACAGAAGAAGCACCGGCUAACUUCGUG
RNAcentral lists this ribosomal RNA (484 nucleotides) under uncultured bacterium. Its description in RNAcentral is "partial 16S ribosomal RNA". It matches the Rfam family "Bacterial small subunit ribosomal RNA", at positions 30 to 507 of the family's 1533-position model. The record is from RNAcentral.